This 492-nucleotide ribosomal RNA is filed under the name uncultured bacterium. Its description in RNAcentral is "partial 16S ribosomal RNA". It matches the Rfam family "Bacterial small subunit ribosomal RNA", at positions 29 to 507 of the family's 1533-position model. The record is from RNAcentral.
AGUGAACGCUGGCGGUAGGCCUAACACAUGCAAGUCGAACGGCAGUACAGUAAGAGCUUGCUCUUACGGGUGGCGAGUGGCGGACGGGUGAGGAAUACAUCGGAAUCUACUUUUUCGUGGGGGAUAACGUAGGGAAACUUACGCUAAUACCGCAUACGACCUACGGGUGAAAGCAGGGGAUAUUCGGACCUUGCGCGAUUGAAUGAGCCGAUGUCGGAUUAGCUAGUUGGCGGGGUAAAGGCCCACCAAGGCGACGAUCCGUAGCUGGUCUGAGAGGAUGGUCGCCCACACUGGAACUGAGACACGGUCCAGGCUCCUACGGUAGGCAGCAGUGGGGUAUAUUGGGCAAUGGGCGCAAGCCUGGUCCAGCCAUACCGCGUGGGUUGAGGAGGCCUUCGGGUUGUAAAGCCCUUUUGUUGGGAGAGAAAAGCAGCAGGUUAAUACCCCGCUGUUCUGACGGUACCCAAAGAAUAAGCACCGGCUAACUUCGUG